This 497-nucleotide ribosomal RNA is filed under the name uncultured bacterium. RNAcentral's name for it is "partial 16S ribosomal RNA". It matches the Rfam family "Bacterial small subunit ribosomal RNA", at positions 28 to 507 of the family's 1533-position model. The record is from RNAcentral.
GAUGAACGCUGGCGGCGUGCCUAAUACAUGCAAGUCGAGCGAACGGACGAGAAGCUUGCUUCUCUGAUGUUAGCGGCGGACGUGUGAGUAACACGUGGAUAACCUACCUAUAAGACUGGGAUAACUUCGGGACACCGGAGCUAAUACCGGAUAAUAUUUUGAACCGCAUGGUUCAAAAGUGAAAGACGGUCUUGCUGUCACUUAUAGCUGGAUCCGCGCUGCAUUAGCUAGUUGGUAAGGUAACGGCUUACCAAGGCAACGAUGCAUAGCCGACCUGAGAGGGGGAUCGGCCACACGGGAACGGAGACACGGUCCAGACGACUACGGGAGGCAGCAGUAGGGAAUCUUCCGCAAUGGGCGAAAGCCUGACGGAGCAACGGCGCGUAAGUGAUGAAGGUCUUCGGAUCGUAAAACUCUGUUAUUAGGGAAGAACAGAUGUGUAAGUAACUGUGCACAUCUUGACGGUAACUAAUCAGAAAGCAACGGCUAACUACGUG